This 246-nucleotide ribosomal RNA is filed under the name uncultured bacterium. RNAcentral describes it as "partial small subunit ribosomal RNA". It matches the Rfam family "Bacterial small subunit ribosomal RNA", at positions 26 to 285 of the family's 1533-position model. The record is from RNAcentral.
AGAAUCAACGCUGGCGGCGUGCCUAACACAUGCAAGUCGCACGAGAAAGGGACUUCGGUCCUGAGUAAAGUGGCGCACGGGUGAGUAACACGUGAAUCAUCUACCUCCGAAUGGGGAAUAAACUGAGAGAAAUCUUAGCUAAUACCGCAUAAUACCUACGGGUCAAAGCAGCAAUGCGUUUGGAGAGGAGUUCGCGGUCGAUUAGUUAGUUGGCGGGGUAAUGGCCCACCAAGACGAUGAUCGAUA